GUAUCCGAAAUACGCGUCCAUGAAGUUGAGUAGUUCGUGUCCGGAAGUGGCGUCCUCCAUUUGAUCUAUUCUCGGCAUUAGAAAGCUGUCUUUGGGGCAUGCUUUGUUCAGAUCAGUAAAAUCUAUGCAUACCCUCCAAUCUCCGUUGUGUUUUUUCACAAGAACCGGAUUCGUGACCCACUUCGGGCAUUUCGCUUCACGGAGGAAAUCGUUGUUCAACAGCUUUUGUACUUCCUUAUUGAGUGCUUCAUAUCUUACAGGGUUCAGAGGUCGUCAUUUUUUCUGUUGGCCGAACUGAAGGAUCUACCUGUAACUUGUGGCAUGUAAUACUGGGAUCUAUUCCUCUCAUGUCACUGUGAUCCCAGGUGAAGACAUCAAGGUUUUGUUUAAGGAAAGUCACAAUCUUGCUUCGGGUGGAGAGCUGCCUCUCGCACCCGACUUUGAGCUCCUUUAUUUUGUCUUUGGCACAGACUCGAACUCCUUCUAGUUCUUCAACGGGGUCUCCGCCUUCGAUCCUGGUCUGUGUGUCUAAGGGAAUGAGUUCGGAUUCCCAUAUGUUUGCCAUAUGUACUCUUGGGGAGCCGCGUUGAUGGCUGGCACAAGCUUUCCAUUGACAUCUUUCAGUGAGCUCCCUGUUUCCUUUGACUUCCAUGGUGUUGGUAACUUGAUAGAAUAGUGAUAUAAGGAAACUACUGCUCUCAGGCUGAAGAGUAGGGGCUGUCCCAUCACAGCGUCAUAAAGAG
Molecule: long non-coding RNA, 743 nt
Filed under: Olea europaea subsp. europaea
Lineage: Eukaryota; Viridiplantae; Streptophyta; Magnoliopsida; Lamiales; Oleaceae
Source: RNAcentral